AUUUUCUAAUAUAAUCCAGAU
RNAcentral lists this small nuclear RNA (21 nucleotides) under Arabidopsis thaliana (thale cress). RNAcentral describes it as "snRNA_06982". Lineage: Eukaryota; Viridiplantae; Streptophyta; Magnoliopsida; Brassicales; Brassicaceae. The record is from RNAcentral.